GUGUUAGUCGUAUAAAGGAAGUAUAUUGUUUUUCCAAAACAAAGGUCUAAUAAGUUUAGUUAAUACA
RNAcentral lists this transfer RNA (67 nucleotides) under Thaparocleidus asoti. RNAcentral's name for it is "tRNA-Gly". Lineage: Eukaryota; Metazoa; Platyhelminthes; Monogenea; Dactylogyridea; Ancylodiscoididae. The record is from RNAcentral.